RNAcentral lists this transfer RNA (71 nucleotides) under Camelus bactrianus (Bactrian camel). It matches the Rfam family "tRNA". From Rfam's summary of the family: Transfer RNA (tRNA) molecules are approximately 80 nucleotides in length. Their secondary structure includes four short double-helical elements and three loops (D, anti-codon, and T loops). RNAcentral also lists the same sequence under 2 other names. Lineage: Eukaryota; Metazoa; Chordata; Mammalia; Artiodactyla; Camelidae. The record is from Rfam by way of RNAcentral.
GAGGGUAUAGCUCAAGGGUAGAGCAUGUGCUUAGCAUGCAUGAGGUCUGGAUUCAAUCCCCAGUGCUGCCA